AUGGCACACAUGUCCCUGGCACACAUGCCCCAGACAUACAUGUCCCUGGCACACACGUCCCUGUCACACAUGGUCCUGGCACGCAUGUCCCUGGCACACAGGUCUUAUGGCACACAUGUCCCUGGCACACAUGGCCCCGUCACACAUGCCCCUGACAUACAUGUCACUUGCACACACGUCCCUGUCACACACGCCCCUGGCACACAUGUCCCUGGCACAUAUGUCCCUGGCACACAUCCCCCGGUCCCUGGGGCGUUUUCCUGCCCGGGUCUGGAGCAGGCGAGGGGGUGCGAGGUCCCUCCAGCUCCACUGUGCCACUCCCGAGGGUCCCGGCCGUGCCAGCCCCGAGGGUUCCACCGUGCCAAUAGCGGGGGUUCCGGCCGUGCCAAUACCAGGGAUCCCGGCCGGGCCAAUCCCGGCCGUGCCAUCCCCGGGGGUCCCUGCAGUGCCAGCCCCGAGAGUCCCAACCGUGUCAGCCCCGGGGGUUCCACCGUGCCAAUCCCGGGAGUCCCUACAGUGCCAUUCCGGGGGGUCCCUACAGUGCCAAUUCCGGGGAUCCCUGCAGUGCCAUUCCCGGCCGUGCCAGCCCCGGGGGUCCCGCGGUGCUCCCGGAGCCACCGCGCCGGCAGCGCCCGCCUGAACCUGAACGGCAGCGAAGGGGGAAAGAAAUCAAAGCCAGGGCAGAGAGAAGCCCGGGAAGCUCGGGAACAUCGGGGAAAGCUCGGGGGAAGCGUCCCGGGCCGGGCUCGGGGCAGGGGCUGCCACCCCCGCCGGGCACCGGGGGCCGGGGCGGCUCCCAGCGCGCUCCCCUCCCGCUGCCGAGCUUUGCCUCAGAUCAAAACAGCCCCGAAAGCCCCAGAAAUCACCGGGGAGGGGAGGAGGAACGUCAGCAGGAGCUGGACUUCUAAAAAACCGUUCCGCCCCAUAGGCUUUAAUAUUAAAAACCCCCUAGGAGCCUCAGACACUGUAUUAAUUAGUGCAACCACCCAUGAAAAGUUGGGUUUGGAACAGCAUUCUUUGCCCUGUGUGAAACAGCAACCCUAA
This 1044-nucleotide long non-coding RNA is filed under the name Junco hyemalis (dark-eyed junco). RNAcentral's name for it is "lncRNA (ENSJHYG00000005629.1)". Lineage: Eukaryota; Metazoa; Chordata; Aves; Passeriformes; Passerellidae. The record is from RNAcentral.